AUGGUGCUUCAACUUGUGUGUCAGGUGGUCAGUGUACUCUGGCUUGCCGUUCAUCACUUCGCAGAACACCGCCGACAAAACUUCGGCAAGCACACCAAGAACAUUCGCUUCAAAGAGAACUAUGGACGCGAGCCCGGAGCCCACCGCCGUGCCAUUAACCAUAGCAAGGCCUUCCUUGGGUUGCAGCUCGAAGAAGCCGUGCUGGAUGCCCGCAAUCUUAAAUGCCUCGGCGGCAUUAACCUUAGUGCCAUCAGGAGCCACGGCCACGGCAUUCGAGCGGCCGGUGACAAGUCCCGCGAUGUAGGAGAGCGGGACGAGAUCGCCAGAAGCGGUGAUGGUGCCCCGGAGCGGCAGGCACGGUGUCACGUUGGCAUUGAGCAGCGUGGCGAUGGUCUCGAGGAUCUCGAAGCGGAUGCCGGAGUAGCCUUGGAGCAGGGUGUUGACGCGGACAAGCAUCGCCGCGCGCGUGGUGGCAGCGGGCAGCACAUGGCCGUCGCUGCCGGUGCCGAACGCACCGGCGUUAAGGAACCGGAUGAGCUCCCUCUGCAGAGCGCCGCCCUCCUUGGUCCUCCGAUGGGAGGUGGCGCCGAAGCCGGUGGUGACGCCGUAGCUGUCGGUGCCGUUGGCCAUGCUGGUCAUGACCCAGUCGCUGCUCUCCUUGACGCGGCCGCGGGCGGACUCGUCGAGCUCCACCCUGGCCCCGUCGGCGGCGGCCACCGCCGCGACCUGGGCGAUGGUCAAGCUUGCGCCCUCCAUAACCACCACCGGCCUGCGGUACUCCUCCACCAUCCGCUUCACGGCGUCCAGAUGGCUCCCCGACAGCGCCUCCGCGGCUUUCCCCCAGUUGAGAGGGUCAGCACUCCGCGGCUCGGCCACGCACAAACCGUGGUUGCCGUUGGCCGCCAUUGGUUUGAUCAACAAUGGAUCUUGAAGUCUCGAUGGAGCAGAUUUGUGGGAGAAAAGAGCUCGAGUAGAGAUUAG
This 981-nucleotide ribosomal RNA is filed under the name Triticum aestivum (bread wheat). Its description in RNAcentral is "partial small subunit ribosomal RNA". Lineage: Eukaryota; Viridiplantae; Streptophyta; Magnoliopsida; Poales; Poaceae. The record is from RNAcentral.